RNAcentral lists this microRNA precursor (59 nucleotides) under Monopterus albus (swamp eel). Its description in RNAcentral is "Mal-Mir-181-P2c2_pre stem-loop". The record is from RNAcentral. Lineage: Eukaryota; Metazoa; Chordata; Actinopteri; Synbranchiformes; Synbranchidae.
CACAUUCAUCGCUGUCGGUGGGUUCAUGAUGCGAUCAACCUGUCGGUCGAUGAAUGACA